This 253-nucleotide long non-coding RNA is filed under the name Setaria viridis. RNAcentral describes it as "long non-coding RNA (SVIR_LNC000328)". Lineage: Eukaryota; Viridiplantae; Streptophyta; Magnoliopsida; Poales; Poaceae. The record is from RNAcentral.
UUGUUGCAAACUGGACAAGAAAACCUGUUUCUGUUUCCCCUUUGCCCUGAAGCAUUUGCAAUGGAACAACAGGGGAACAAGGCAUGGGUUUCGAGAUUUCUAUUUCAUCAGUCAGCCCAUGUUGCCAAGGUCAUAUCACAUUGAAAUACUGGUCAAUCGAUUAAGCUCAGAUGGACAGGGUCAUAUCCUAAUGAAAAAAAGUAUCGUGGCUCCAACUGGUUGAGGACGUCUUCUUCUCUGUCCCCCUUUUUUU